GAUGAACGCUGGCGGCGUGCCUAAUACAUGCAAGUCGAGCGAACAGACGAGGAGCUUGCUCCUCUGACGUUAGCGGCGGACGGGUGAGUAACACGUGGAUAACCUACCUAUAAGACUGGGAUAACUUCGGGAAACCGGAGCUAAUACCGGAUAAUAUAUUGAACCGCAUGGUUCAAUAGUGAAAGACGGUUUUGCUGUCACUUAUAGAUGGAUCCGCGCCGCAUUAGCUAGUUGGUAAGGUAACGGCUUACCAAGGCAACGAUGCGUAGCCGACCUGAGAGGGGGCCAGCCCCCAGUGGACCGGACACCCGGCCCACACCCCUCCGGGGGCCGCCGGGAGGGAUUUUUCCGCAAGGGGGCAAAGCCUGACGGGGCCGCGCCGGGUGAGUUAUGAGGGUCUCGGGACCUUAAACCUUUUUUUUUGGGAAAAAAAAAAUGUGUAAUUAACUAUGCCCUUCUGGCGGUCCCCUAAUAGAAAGCCCCCGCCCACCUCCGUC
This 497-nucleotide ribosomal RNA is filed under the name uncultured bacterium. Its description in RNAcentral is "partial 16S ribosomal RNA". It matches the Rfam family "Bacterial small subunit ribosomal RNA", at positions 28 to 508 of the family's 1533-position model. The record is from RNAcentral.